CUCUGCUUCUCAGUAGAUUUUUUCUGGGCCUGCUGGGGACAGUGGCAACGCUGUGGCCUGUUCAGGGCCGAUAGGAGGGAGAUAGAAGGGGCGGGGAGCUGGCGAUCCAUCAUCUCCCCUCCCACCAGGAGCAGACCAGGGCGGUUUUGGAAACCAGGUUUUCCUGAUCUUAGCAUCACACUAACACGUGUACACACACCCCCGCCCUAGGAGAUUACACACAGAUACACUGACAUGUUUUCUCCCCACGUGUCUGCCCUGUGAGCUGCUUCCAGGGUCAAUUUCCCGAGAAGCCCCCUUGUGUGGGUCUCCCUCCCUCCUCCCCCAAAUGAAAACCUUCCAUGACUCCUUGGUGUCUAUGGGGUGACUCAGACUCUCUAGCCUCACGUUCAAGGUCUUCCCUGAUCUGGUCCCAACCUGACUUCCUAGCCUGGUCCCCCAUAAUCCUCCAACAGAGGGGUCUUCCUGGGAGUUCCCGUCGUGGCUCAGUGGUUAACGAAUCCGACUAGGAACCGUGAGGUUGGGGGUUCGAUCUCUGGCCGUACUCAGUGGGUUGGGCAUCUGGCGUUGCCAUGAGCUGUGGUGUAGGUCGCAGACGCGGCACAGAUCUGGCGUUGCUGUGGCUGUGGUGCAGACCAGCAGCUACAGCUCCAAUUAGACCCCUAGCCUGAGAACCUCCAUAUGCCGUGGGAGCGGCCUUAGAAAAGGCAAAAAGACAACAACAACAACAACAAAAAAAGUGUCUUCCUGAAGAAAGACUCGUCCUAUGCAUUUACAUUUCCUCCUCCAGGGUGGAUCACCGGGGACAAGCCUCUUCCCAUGCACAUCUCUACUGGGUCAGGGCCACCUCCUCCGGGAGGCCUCUUUGAUUGCCUCAGCCUCCAGCAGCUUCUUCCUUACAUGUCCCUGACAUUCCGAGGGGAAGCCUUCGUUCACUUGAGGAUGAAAAAUAACAACCAGAUGAACGAAAGAACGAUCAUCAGAAAUGAUAAAUAAUACGUUCCAGAUGUGGCCAGAGAGAAACGCAGCUGAAAGCACUGCCUCCUCCUAGCAGUCACCUUGCGGGAACCCCUCCUCCCAACAAGGCCUUCACGACAAGUUGUGUAACUCCUCUUUCAGUAUUGCCUUCAGGGUAUGUGACUCUGUUUUUUGAAUGUCCUUACUGGUGACAACCCUUUAUCUUUUGCUUUUCUAGAAUCAGUCAAAAAUAACGCCUGGCUCAUCGUGGUUGUCUUGAGUAGACUGUAAAACGGCUAUAAAGGAGUCUUUGUAGAAAUGUUUUAAUCCGUAGGGUAGAUGGUGUAAGUGUGUGUCCUCCUAAGGUGACUGUUCCGAAGGACAGCCCUUGUUUGGUUUCCAUUUUUUCUUUUUUCAGGGCCGCACCUGCGGCAUAUGGAGGUUCCCAGGCUAGGGGGUUGAAUCAGAGCUGCAGCUGCCAGCCUACACCACAACCACAGCAAUGCAAGAUCUGAGCCGCGUCUGCGACCCACACCACAGCUUGCAGCAACAACGGUGGAUCCUUAACCCACUGAGCAAGGCCAGGGAUUGAACCUGCAUCCUCAUGGAUAUUAGUCUGGUUCUUAACCUGCUGAGCCCCAGUGGGAACUCCCCGUGUUUGUUUAAAGAAGAUAAUCUCAGAUAUACAUCCCAUAUCAUAUUCUGUACAAUAAAAUAAUGUAUUAUGAUGUU
RNAcentral lists this long non-coding RNA (1689 nucleotides) under Sus scrofa (pig). Its description in RNAcentral is "lncRNA (ENSSSCG00060020091.1)". Lineage: Eukaryota; Metazoa; Chordata; Mammalia; Artiodactyla; Suidae. The record is from RNAcentral.